This 936-nucleotide ribosomal RNA is filed under the name Vreelandella venusta. RNAcentral's name for it is "bacterial SSU rRNA". It matches the Rfam family "Bacterial small subunit ribosomal RNA", at positions 53 to 990 of the family's 1533-position model. Lineage: Bacteria; Pseudomonadati; Pseudomonadota; Gammaproteobacteria; Oceanospirillales; Halomonadaceae. The record is from RNAcentral.
CCAUGCAAGUCGAGCGGUAACAGGGGUAGCUUGCUACCCGCUGACGAGCGGCGGACGGGUGAGUAAUGCAUAGGAAUCUGCCCGAUAGUGGGGGAUAACCUGGGGAAACCCAGGCUAAUACCGCAUACGUCCUACGGGAGAAAGGGGGCUCCGGCUCCCGCUAUUGGAUGAGCCUAUGUCGGAUUAGCUAGUUGGUGAGGUAAAGGCUCACCAAGGCGACGAUCCGUAGCUGGUCUGAGAGGAUGAUCAGCCACAUCGGGACUGAGACACGGCCCGAACUCCUACGGGAGGCAGCAGUGGGGAAUAUUGGACAAUGGGCGAAAGCCUGAUCCAGCCAUGCCGCGUGUGUGAAGAAGGCCCUCGGGUUGUAAAGCACUUUCAGCGAGGAAGAACGCCUAGUGGUUAAUACCCAUUAGGAAAGACAUCACUCGCAGAAGAAGCACCGGCUAACUCCGUGCCAGCAGCCGCGGUAAUACGGAGGGUGCAAGCGUUAAUCGGAAUUACUGGGCGUAAAGCGCGCGUAGGUGGCUUGAUAAGCCGGUUGUGAAAGCCCCGGGCUCAACCUGGGAACGGCAUCCGGAACUGUCAAGCUAGAGUGCAGGAGAGGAAGGUAGAAUUCCCGGUGUAGCGGUGAAAUGCGUAGAGAUCGGGAGGAAUACCAGUGGCGAAGGCGGCCUUCUGGACUGACACUGACACUGAGGUGCGAAAGCGUGGGUAGCAAACAGGAUUAGAUACCCUGGUAGUCCACGCCGUAAACGAUGUCGACCAGCCGUUGGGUGCCUAGCGCACUUUGUGGCGAAGUUAACGCGAUAAGUCGACCGCCUGGGGAGUACGGCCGCAAGGUUAAAACUCAAAUGAAUUGACGGGCGCCCGCACAAGCGGUGGAGCAUGUGGUUUAAUUCGAUGCACGCGAGAUCUUACCUACUCUGACAUCCU